RNAcentral lists this unclassified non-coding RNA (345 nucleotides) under soil metagenome. Its description in RNAcentral is "partial contains 5.8S ribosomal RNA, internal transcribed spacer 2, and large subunit ribosomal RNA". The stretch from base 1 to 120 matches the Rfam family "5.8S ribosomal RNA", at positions 35 to 154 of the family's 154-position model. The record is from RNAcentral.
GAUGAAGAACGUAGCGAAAUGCGAUACGUAAUGUGAAUUGCAGAAUUCAGUGAAUCAUCGAGUCUUUGAACGCACAUUGCGCCCCCUGGUAUUCCGGGGGCCAUGCCUGUCCGAGCGUCAUUGCUGCCCUCAAGCACGGCUUGUGUGUUGGGCCUCCGUCCUCCUCCCGGGGGACGGGCCCGAAAGGCAGCGGCGGCACCGCGUCCGGUCCUCGAGCGUAUGGGGCUUCGUCACCCGCUCUUGUAGGCCCGGCCGGCGCUUGCCGACACAUCAAUCUUUUUUCCAGGUUGACCUCGGAUCAGGUAGGGAUACCCGCUGAACUUAAGCAUAUCAAUAAGCGGAGGA